AAUUGUCUUUCCAGUUUGUCUAGUUCCUCCAUGGUUGUGAGAGGAAAGACAUCAUCCUCGCUGUCCACCAGCAGCACUGGAGCACUGGAACGACUGUUAGCUGCAAGGGACUGGACCACUGAAGACAGAUGAUUGAUCUUCAUGUCCAGUUCGUUAAGUACCUCCAGAAUUGUCCUCUCAACAGCUGCAACACAUUAGAUGGGUGUUCAUCCCAAGCAUCCUCUUGCUCAUUUUCAUUGGACAAGCUCACUGGAACAGCUGGAGUUAAGAAAGGUGAAGUUGAUGGGUGUUCUUCCCAAGUUUCCAGCUGGCGGUCUGCAUGAGAGAAGCUCUCUCUGAAAUGAGCUUAAUUGACAUUACAAAAGUUACUCAUUCA
Molecule: long non-coding RNA, 376 nt
Organism: Cyprinus carpio carpio
Lineage: Eukaryota; Metazoa; Chordata; Actinopteri; Cypriniformes; Cyprinidae
Source: Ensembl